Molecule: non-coding RNA, 13155 nt
Organism: Podarcis lilfordi (Lilford's wall lizard)
Lineage: Eukaryota; Metazoa; Chordata; Lepidosauria; Squamata; Lacertidae
Source: the annotation of a GenBank genome assembly
GAAGAAGAAGCAGGAAGAAGGCUGGAAUCCAUUUUGGGCAGGCUGGCUGAAGGCUGGCUGCACUGCUGUGGGGUACAAACCCCUCUUGAAAUGACCAUGCCGUAAGACCUGGACUCCUUCCAUGCAGGUUGAAGGUGUAAAUAGGUGAGUAAACCAUAUUUCUUAAAGCUACAACAGUCUCUGCCAUGCCUCAGUUCUCCAAAGGAACACAGACCCUGGGUGAGUGCCUGGAACUCUUGCCACCUCUCGGCCAGGGUGGGGGGGAGGCACCCAGCUUUUGUAGCAAUAUAUUCCCAUCUAAACAGCCACCUCCCCUGUUAUACCAUUAAAUCCAGGGUCUAAAAUUGCCCAGCUGCACCACUGUUUAAUUCCAAUUGCUUAGAUUAGGAAAAGGGCUCAGUUUAUUUUCUCAAGGAGAGCGCAACCCAAAUGUUCACCUUCCCCCGUAAUCCCGAAAGUUAAUGAUACUAACAAUCAGAUUCAACAGCACUAGCAAGUUAACAAUAUGUCCUGAUGACCUUCAAUCACAGGUUUCAAGUGUAAAGAUUAAAUGACUCAGAUUUUAAUCCAAACCGUGUCUUACGAAACCAUGUUCAGCACUGAUAGGCAUCUUAGAAAUACCCUUUGCAGAGUUCUUGCAUCUUUCAGCUACAGAGGCUUGGCCUCUUUAUGGGAGAAGUUACUGCAGCUCAGUGGCAGGGUUAGGUUAAAAUUCAGGAACUCUCAGGUUUAUUCCUCCAGUAUCCAUUUUAAAAAUAAAAUAAAAUAAAUGAGUCAGGUAGCAAGGGACGGGGAAGACCUCUGUCCAAGGCUAUGGAGAGUGAAUCCCAGUCAGAGCAGGCAAUAUUGUGCGUUGGCAAUGGAGGUGAUGACAGGCAGUGACUUGAAGCUUGCUGAGAUUGAAUGCUGAAGGAAGUGGAGCUUGAAGUCAGCACCAAUCAGCUGAUGGAAUGCCAGGCAAUUGACAGGUGGGUGGGGUCCUAGGUAUAGAAAUAGUCCACCAUCAGCAGGGGAACCUGGGAUCCAGCCCACCAGCCAGAUCCACUAUCUCACACCAUGUGGCUUUAUUGGCCCCGCCUCCAUAAGCCACAGGCCACAGGCCACUCCACUAUGUCCAGGAACCGCCACUGCUGCACGGGGGUAGUUCUGCUCAUGAAAUAGAUCUUCCCUUUCCUCUCCUCACCCCCCAGCCGUCUGUGCACCCUGAAAAUCUGAAAGGUCCCCCAAUCCUCUGGAGCAGAUUUUGAGACAUGAGUGUACGUCAGUUCUGUUUGUGCAAUGGUAGGUACACCAUGCAAUCCACAGUUUAUCAAGUUUCUUCAGAGUAGGCCAAUAGCUCAAAAUAUUCACACAGAACCUAGGACUUCAUUGUCAUCUGCCGUCUUAACGCCUCUAAACCACUGUAUGCCACUGGAAUCUCAACUCGCUGUCAUAUCCAGAUGUGUUAAUUUGGCUUGCUUUCCUUUUUGAUUAGCAUUGUACGAAGUAAUCCAUUGAGCCAAGUCAGCAGUUGGCAGCUGGUCUAUUGGCUAAACAUGUGAAGUGAUAUAGUUAUGAGACACGGCAUAUACCUAACUUCCCUUGCAUAAGACGUAAUAAUUUGUUCCUCCGCCUAUAUGUGAUUAAGAAUAUUAAGUACUUAGUAGACAUACACUUGCUAUUGUAUUCUGGAUAAUAAAAUCUGCCUCUAGUGCAAAGCAGAAAAACCAGUCUACCCAGAAUCAGGUAGCUGAGUUUUCAACCAGCGCCUAAAAAACGUAAGGUGAUUUUGGAUGCCUUAGCCACUGAGCUGCAUAGAAAAAGAGGUAUUGCACUAGAGUAGCAUUGCUUUGCUCUCGACAGUUGCAACAAUUCUGCAUCCCCUUUGGACUUUCACUGGCUUUGGCUCAGCCAGCUGAGCCCAGUGGGACAAGUUACACUGUCUUAUCUUCAACUGUGCUGGGGCUGGGGGAUUUAACACCGUCUGUGUGGGGGCUCAGCUGGCUGAGCUGGAGAUCAGCUACAUCCUAAAAUACUCAUCCCAAUGGAUCUUGAGUGAAGAUCCAGUUUCAGGAGAGCUUGCCCUAUCUGUAAUUGCUUUCACUCUGUCUUUAGAUCAUCAGAAAUCAGAGUAUCAUCACCGUUCAUCUUUUUCAUCAUCUUGGUGGCAGGGCCGGAUUUAGUUUUGAUGAGGCCCUAAGCUACUGAAGGUAAUGGGGCCCUUUAUAUGUCUAGCUGUCUUUUGUCAACAACAAAUUGUCACUGGUUUUUGUGUUGAGUAUAUGCUAUAUGGUAGUUUAUGGAUCUAAUUGGUAUCUAAAGCCAUUUGCACAUAUCAAAAUAUGUAUUUUAUCAAAGUAAUUGUUGAACUGAAAUACAAUUAAGAAUAAGUGAUAUUUGAGGGAGCAGGCUAGCAGGUGGGGCCCAUUACUUACAGCAUAGGAGCCUACACAACACAAAACACAUGCUUUAUGUAGGUUUUAUUUUAUUUGUUUUAUACCUUAUAUUUUGGAAAUGUACACCCAGGGGUUUUUUUCCUUUAAUUUUUUUUGGGGCCCUCCCAAGAGAGUGAGGCCCUAAACUAUAGCUUGUACCUAAAUCCGGCACUCAAGGAAAAUGACAGUCUCUGUCCCCAAAGCACUUAUAAUCCAAUGCAGUGCAAGAGAAGGCAAAGGAAGGAAGGAAGGAAGGAAGGAAGGAAGGAAGGAAGGAAGGAAGGAAGGAAAUGCAAGAUGCUAUGUGCACUUGUAUUAGUGGAUGAGGCUGGAGGGUUAAGCCGAAGGCUUCUCAACAUGCCUCACUGUCACUGUAACUCUAUGUAAACAGCAGUCCCAUUUAUUCACACGCGUUGGGUGUUCCCCACUGGCCAUUUAGAUAAAACGAGCGUAUGUUUCCAAAAACACAAUCAUAAUUGUCAGUUCAAAUAGCUAGAUGACAAGCUUAAUGCAACAAUUAAGCAUGAAGACUUAGAAAGACUUUGCUGUAGCGUUUGAGCAAGUCAACAGCAUGCCUGCCGAUUGCACAAAAUAACUCAGCCCUAGAACUUGCCCACUGGGUAAAAGUGGCCUCUAGCCACAUGGUUCAAUGAUGGCAAAUACAGAAUGCUUCUAGACAGCUGACAACUCUCCCUCUCUCCCACUUGUUUUCACUAUUGUGAAUCAUGCCCAAUUACAUGAAAGCCAAAUUCAGUACUGAGUGCCAAAUUAGUCACUUGAUUAGAAAAUGUGAUGUUGUAGAAGAGUGUUUGCUCUGUCUGGAUCUACUGGGAACAACAAAUAGGAAAGCAGACUGUGAAAUGGUGCAAAAUUACUGAUUAUACUUGGGUAGCCCCAUCUUACAGGGAUACGGGUGGCGCUGUGGUCUAAACCACUGAGCCUCUUGGGCUUGCUGAUCAGAAGGUCAGCGGUUUGAAUCCCUGCGAUGGAGUGAGCUCCCGUUCCUCUGUCCCAGCUUCUGGCAACCUAGCAGUUCGAAAGCAUGCCAGUGAAAGUAGAUAAAUAGGUACUGCUGCGGCAGGAAGGUAAAUGGCAUUUCCAUUUGCUCUGGCUUCCAUCACGGUGUCCCGUUGCACCAGAAGCGGUUUAGUCAUGCUGGCCACAUGACUGGAAAGCUGUCUGUGGACAAACACCGGCUCCCUCAGCCUGAAAGCGAGAUGAGCGCCACAACCCCAUAGUCACCUUUGACUGGACUUAACUGUCCAGGGGUCCUUUACCUUACCUUUUUACCUUAGCCCCAUCUUCUUUAUGAAGUAUACCCAUAACUUCAGGAUGGCAGUGUGGCAGAGUGACUCCAGGCUACCAUAAAUAAAUCUGCUAUUCCCACUACUUUAUGAGUUAAUCUUAGGAAUAAUAAUAACAAUAAUAAUAAUAAUAAUUUAUUUAUACCCCACCCAUCUGGCUGGGUUUCCCCAGCCACUCAGGGCGGCUCCCAACAGAAUAUUAAAAACACGAUAGAACAACAAACAUUAAAAACUUACCAAAACAGGGCUGCCUUCAGAUGUCUUCUAAAAGUGAGAUAGUUGUUUAUUUCCUUGACAUCUGAUGGGAGGGCAUUCCACAGGGCAGGCACCACUACCAAGAAGGCCCUCUGCCUGGUUCCCUGUAACCUCACUUCUCGCAGUGAGGGAACCGCCAGAAGGUCCUUGGCACUAGAUCUCAGUGUCCGGGCUGAAUGAUGGGGGUGGAGAUGCUCCUUCAGGUAUACAGGACAGAGGUCAUUUAGGGCUUUAAAGGUCAGCACCAACACUUUGAAUUGUGCUCGGAAAUGUGCUGGUAGCCAAUGUAGGUCUUUCAAGACUGGUGUUAUGUGGUCUUGGCGGCCGCUCCCAGGCACCAGUCCAGCUGCUGCAUUCUGGAUUAGUUGUAGUUUCUGGGUCACCUUCAAAGGUAGCCCCACGUAGAGCGCAUUGCAGUUGUCCAAGCAGGAGAUAACUAGAGCAUGUACCACUCUGGAGAGACAGUCUGCGGGCAGGUAGGGUCUCAGCCUGCAUACCAGAUGGAGCUGGUAGAGAGCUGCCCUGGACACAGAAUUGACCUGCACCUCCAUGGACAGCUGUGAGUCCAAAAUGACUCCCAGACUGCACACCUGGUCUUUCAGGGGCACAGUUACCCCAUUCAGGACCAGGGAGUCCCCCACACCUGCCUGCCCCCUCUCCCCCCAAAACUACUUCUGUCUUGUCAGGAUUCAACCUCAGUCUGUUAGCCGCCAUCCAUCCUCCAGCAAUGAAGGCUAAGGGAGUUCAUUCCUGCCAACCCUUCAUGACUCAAGGAGGUAGGUGAAGAACAGCCCACAAACAUCACAGCAAACCACGGCAAUGCAGCUGGCUCCAGACAGCAUUAGCCCCUGCCUUACCUCCUGACUCAGCUUGUGGUAUCAAAAGAGGGAUUCAGGGCCAAACUAGAAGGGGUAGUGUCAGGGGUUCAGGGAGAGAGGCACAGGGUAGGCAGGAGAUGGAGAGCGAUGGGGAUGAAUUCCAAGCCAGCGAGGAAGAGGAUGACAAUGACUCAAGAGAUUCCAUGAGUCUUUCCAGCGAAUCAGAGGAUUCCCAGAAGGGGGCGCCGGUGGUCAAGGCCAGGCGAGCCCCAGGGGGGACGUGUCAGGAGCAGGGGGCCAGCGGAGGAUCCCAAAGUGGCAGCUGGGGGUCACGACCAGCCUCCCCACCAGAGUGCAGCGAAGGGGGUGGAGUUUCCAGUGUGUCAGGGAAGCAGCUCCGGCAGCAGAGAAAGGAGGGAGGUCAGAGCAAGCCGCCCUCCCGGAAGGGAGGGAGCAGUGAAGGGAGUAGUGUAACUGUCAAAAGGAAAGUUAGAGGUUUGGCGCGCGUGCCAAGUUUCAAAUGUAGAGGCGCGCGAAGUACAGGGAGCCCGGAGGAGGGGCCAGGUCCCAAAGCCCGCAGGAGGGGGAAGAGCAGUCUGAUUCCGCGUCAGAGGAAUCCAGGAGGGGCGAAACUCCAGCGGGCAGAAGGACCCUGCGGAAAGGGAAGGAGAGAAAGAGGUGGAGCAGCGCAAGCCGCUUAAACUUGUGCACGGCAGGGAAGGAUUCAGAGGGGACUUCAGCGGUCUAAGCGUAGCAGACGUAAGGCUGCGCGCCUAGGAUGUCAAGCAAACAAUGAACUGCAAUAAACACCUUUGUAUAUAAGAAGGCAUAGGCGUUGGUCUUUUGUGAGCUGAGACUUGAGGCAGCCUUGACAGGUAGGAACUUAGAUUAGGUCAGUGGUGUGUUAAUCCCGCACCCACUCAGCAAACAGGAAGCGUUUCACAGCCACUGAGAAUCCUCAGUUCUAAUUGGCCAAUUUAGCACUCCCCAUCUUAACAGCUUUCUCCCUAAAUAUUUUUUAGACUUCUGCAAACCUUGGAGUUUCCCCCAAGCCUGGCGAUACCACCCUCUUGUGUAUGGAUGGUGACUUUUGGUUACCCAAACAACAGCCACACACGAUACGAUACAAUAAUCUUUGUUGUCAUUGUCUCAUACAGAACAAUGAAACUGAAAAAAUCUACAUCAGACAUUCAAAAACCAACAAGCCUGCUAUUGCAGCUAUCCCAGCCUGGUUAGGCCCCUAAAAACUCUGAUACCCCAUAAUUAAAUACAAUAUACUCCCAUAGAGACUACCUUACACUGCGUUUAAAACGAAAAUAGCAUUUGGAUAGAAACUGUUUCUCAGUCCUAGUCUUUAUAACCCUGUACCUUCUUCCAGAAGGCAGAAGCUGAAAGAGAUCAUUUCUGGGGUGCGCACUGUCCUGCACUAUCUCUGCAGCUUUCUUAUGACACAGCGCGGACAUCGGGAAAAGGGAAAAUGAUACCCACUAAAAAACAAUGUAGCAAAUACUAUGGCCCAUUUAGAUGGAUGCCUUCAUGUGCAAACAAUUCAUAUGGUGUCACUCAGGCAUUUGUGGAAAAACAAAUGCGUUUUCCAGAGCCCUUGUGCACAAGUUGUUCCACUGCCAAAAGAAUGAGAAAGAGCUGGUUUCCCCACCUCUUCCCCACCUUCUUUGCACAUUGCAAUGAUCUUCAACCAUCCUGCCCAUCAAGGUGAACCCAAAUUUUACAUAGUUAUUAUCCUUGUUCCAGCGGCUGCUGGCUAGUGUCCAAGUUGCCCCUGCAAUCACUCAUUCUGUAAAACUAUGCCAGAAAUACAGAGAAGAAGCCAUAAAACUCCAGGUUCUUUGACUCCUCGCUGUCCAUUGUCUGCAGAACAGGCUUGGGGUGAGGCAGGGGGAACCUUGCAUUCUUUUACCCUUAAAAAAAAAAGAUUGCGUACUGGGAGCUGUCUACAGAUCAUCUUUGAAAAUUAUUGGCAGUUUUUGUACCGCCAUUCUCAAAUGGCUGGGGAGAAAAACAAAAUAAACCUUUGACCUUUUCUGACAAACCUGCCUUUGGAGGAGGCAGUUGUUUAUUUAGAGAAGCUUACCAGAUAAUGGAAAGCAAGGAGAGAGAGAGAGAGAGAGAGAGAGAGAGAGAGAGAGAGAGAGAGAGAGAGAGAGGAGCACUGGCAAAUUGACUAGGUUGCUUUGAGCAGGCUAACCAAAAAUAGAAAAAUUGGAGGGUUGUUUAAAAAGAAAGAAAAAAGUGUGUGCUAUUCUACAACACAGCACCCAUUUAUUUCCCAUUGACCCUUCUUUUGCUAUGGUACAUUUUCUGAAGACGAGGUUAGGUAAAGGGAGGGGGGGGGGAGAGAUUCUGUUUGCGCAAGGUUUAUGUAAACUUCCUGUAGAAGCGAAGAGGCUCCCGUAUUGGAGGUUAUAAGAAAACACCUGCCCAUCAAUACGACAUCACCUGGACAAAGGCUUCCUUGCACCUUUCACAGUAAGAAAGGCCUACCCAUUACUUCUGAUUAUCAGCCACACCUGAAUGAACCAACACAGCUCUGGUCAACAAAAGGUGACUCCGCCACUCCGCCACCCCAAAGCAAGAACCACCACAUGGGUCACAUUCCUAUCUGCUCUGACUUCCUGAAGUAGCUUCAAUAGAACAUCCAACAUGUUUUAUUGGUGGGAAGAGGUUUCCCCUCCACCACCUUUUCAGUCCAACAAUCAUUUUGCAAGACAGGAUGUUCUUUGCCAUUCAGUUAACCUUUUCGGAAUAAAGAGCAACAGCUCAGGGCAAUCUUUGCCCUCCCAAGCAGCCAACACAGGUGGCGUGGCCCAAUUCAAACAACCAUAAUAAAAUAUAAAGUGAUGAACCAAUAAAAAAAGUAUUGAACCAAAAGACACAGCGGGAUGGGGUGGGGGCUGACUGUUUUUUUGUCCUGAGGGCUGUAUUUAGGGUUGCCAAGCCUCUGAGGGCUGCAUGUCCAUAGCUGUCAACUUUUCCCGUUUCUUGCAAGGAAUCCUAUUCGGAAUAAGGGAAUUUCCCCUUAAAAAAAAGGGAAACGUUGACAGCUAUGUGCAUGUCUGCAGUGGUUGUGGCCAAACUCAGACCCUCCAAGUGUCCUUAUUUUCCAGGGACAGUCCCAGAUUUACAAAAGCUCUCCCGGUUUCUGAUUUGAUCCCAGAAUGUCCCACCUUUCCUUAGGGUGUCUCUAUUUUCAUUAGAGAAAUGUUGGAGGGUGUGGAGUUAUAUAUUUAUUCAGUGAACCGCCCUGAGACCCCCGAGUAUAGGGCGGUAUAUAAAUAGUAAAAAUAAGAAGACGACGGGGAUGUGGAGUGGAAAGUAAAAUUGAGAACAACUAGCAACUAAGACUCUAGAAGGAAGGGACACACACAAAACUCAGACUACUUCAUUUGUGUUUAAAGAGGAAGUCAUGCCAGCAUAUUUGCAUUGAUAGGGGUUCCCACCCAUUAGAUUACUCUCAUUCUAAAAGAAUUCCAGAAUAUUUAUUCAGCAGCAAGCAAAAUGCACCAAUUUCAAGAUAACACGUGGCAAGAUAAUGGCAGGUCACGGAAUCAAGUGGGAGAGAAUGAGUUUUUAUACAUGCGUCUGUGCAUGGGAAAUUCUAGUUAAAUAAUCCAGGGUGGAGAUGGGGGAGGAGGGGGCGAGCUGAUAAGGAAGCUGGAGAAGUCACAUGGCAGUUUCACUGAGAAAGAAAAUAAGGGGAAAUUGGGUAAAGUGGCCACUCACACCUUGCCAAAAGAGAAUAAUAAAAAGAAGUCAAAGGAAAACAUGGAUUUGCACGUACUAUUCUAUAUACAGUGGUACCUCUAGUUAGGAACUUAAUUCAUUCCAGAGGUCCGUUCUUAACCUGAAACUGUUCUUAACUAGAGGUGUGCUUUCGCUAAUGGGGCCUCUUGCUGCCGCUGCGCCGCCAGCACACGAUUUCCAUUUUCAUCCUGGGGCAAAGUUCUCAACUUGAGGGAACUCUCCCAGGUUAGCGGAGUUUGUAACCUGAAGUGUUUGUAAGCUGAGGUGUUUGUGACUCGAAGUACCACUGUAUAAGAAAUGGUGCAGAUUCCUAUCUUACUUCUUUGUCCCUUCGGAGCUCCGUUGUGUCUCUUAAGUGGAAAGCCACUUCGCGAAACUCUCCUCGCACCCUUUCAAAGUAAGGUGUUUUUUUUCAAGUUCUUUGCGACUGCACAUACAUGCCUUGUGUGAAUAUUUUUCUGAGUCAUAAUACCAACUGCGUUGGGACAUUCAGUGCAUAUUAUACCUUCAUUAUAUGCAGAGUUGUGUUUGUUUUGAUUAGAUUCUAUUCUCUGUAUUCCUUCAUUGUUGGGUGCUAAAUGCUGAAGGGCAACUUUAAGGUCACUGCUCUCUCUUGUUCUUUAUCUUCAAUGAACUAGGCAGGUCUUCAACUGGGGGACUCCAGAGAGAGGACUGUCUUUUGAAAAGUAGGAUACAUGACCACCCUAAAAUUGGGGCAUGCAUGAUAGUAUUUUCCCAAUCCGAUUACAUAGACCAGAGGUUUUCAACCUUUUUGAGCCCACAGCCUCCUUGACCAAUUGUUUUCUUUCUGCGGCUCUCCUGUGGGGCUCAGGAGCCCAGUUAUGUCACCCCUUGCUUGCAUAGCUGGCAGCCUAUCACCCUUUUGCGAACACCUUCCCUCGUGGAGUAUUUUUUCAGCCUCCUCUCCUUGAGAGAGCCAACAUGGUGUAGUGGUUAAGAGCAGUGGACUCGUAAUCUGGUAAACUGAGUUCGCUUCCCCGCUCCUCCACAUGCAGCUGCUGGUUGACCUUGGGCUAGUCACACUUCUCUGAAGUCUCUCAGCCCCACUCACCUCACAGAGUGUUUGUUGUGGGGGAGGAAGGGAAAGGAGAAUGUGAGCCGCUUUGAGACUCCUUUGGGUAGUGAUAAAGCGGGAUAUCAAAUCCAAACUCUUCUUCUUCUUGGGAAUCCUCCGCUGCUGCUGCCCUUGGUCUCUGAACUACCCACCCCCUGCCCCAAAGAGAGGUGCCUCCUCACACUGCCCCACAGGGGCCUGGGACUUGUCUGUCUACUUCCAACAGCAAGGGUUGGCGGACUGGCUGGCUGGGCUCCCUGGCCCCCUUGCUUGCUUACUCCGAGGCCGCCUCAGCUCCUGGCAACCAGCACCCCCUGGCCAGCCCCAGAGGCACCAAUUCACCAGGGGAGCUUGUAGCCAGGGCUGCUACAACAACAGCCAUGCAAGCCUUGGGGAGGCAGAAAUGUGAGAAGGCAUCAGAGGAGGGAGGGAAGGAAAGAAGGACAGAGGUCAGUAUUGCCCAUAGCACCCCUGACAUCAUUCAAGGCACCCCAGGAUGCCACGACACACAGGUUGAAAACCACUGCCCUAAUCCUUUGAAAACUGAAAAAUAGAUUUUGGUGUUUUCCCUGCAGUGUGUUGUAUAGCUAAUUAAUUUAGGGGUUAUGGGUGGGCUAUUGUUAUGAGUUUGAGGAUGCCAAACCCCUCUAAUUAAUCCCUGGAUCCAGCAAGUGUUAGAAUUUAAUCAAGGCUUGGGGUGUUAAAUUGGGUGUCAGACCCCCUUUAGUCCCUGCAUCCUACAAGUGUUGAAAUCAAAUCAAGCCAAGGUAGCUUUUAUGGGUCAAAGUUGAGGAUUUUUUUCUUCCUGCUUCCAUCCGAAUUACUUAUUAUCCCGGCUCAUGUGUAAUGGCGGCAACAAGAAAUGUUAAGGUCUGCAUCGUAUAUACAUCUGCAGCAUAAAGGUUCAUGAAAACAGUUUGAACGCUUUCCCACCUCCCUCUUUAAGGUCCACAUUAUUACUAGAUAAAUAUACAUUAUUCAUUCCAGGACAUUCUUUUUUCCACUCUACUCUACCUAUUCACCAGGUUAAUGCAUUAACUUAACUGCUGCUUAUUGACGAUCCCCACCCCCAAGGUAAAGUAAUGGGGCCUGUAUGACCAUAUCCUUGACUCUAAUUGAAAGCCUCAGUUAAAAAAGAAAGAAAGUAAAAGGCACUUAGAUAUGUUGCAGUCCUAGUUUCAUAGCAGUAAAAUAAAUAAACCAACAAUUUCAUCUCAAAAAGCGGAAUAUCAUUGAAAAACAUUGGAUGCAGCACAAACCUUUUCUGCAAAAGAAAACAAAGCAAAACAAAAAAAAGCCCUCCAAUAUCUAAAGUGGGAUUUAGUGAAAGGGAGGUAGAUAAAGACUUUUUGUUCAAAAAUGAAGUUUCUAAUUUUAAAUGGGUGAGAAAACUACAGUUCCUUUAUUUUAUUUUAUUUUUUUCAGGCAAAUUCAAUAGGAUGGCAGUCAACAGAAAGCUGCAGUGGCAGAAAAAUCUCUGCACUCUCUGGUGAAGCAUCUUUCCUCACUGAGGACUGGGAUUACUCUUUGCAAAACCCCUGAUAGAAAACUUCAAAACUCUACAUGCAUCUUUCCUACCAAGGGAAAGGUCCCUGUAGGCCUUCUUACGUCUCAGACUCCCGUAGGAGAAGAUGCUCUGCUGGGAACUGGGAGUCCCCAUCGCUGCCUCUGCCUACCCUAUUCGCAUCUCAUAGUAAGUUGUGGUUUGUUUUUUUCCUUGGGGCAGGGAAUUGCCUUUCCCUAAUUGGGGCACUGCUGAAUUCUCUGCUCUGAGACUCUGCUUUCACUUUUUGUAAUACAGUGGUACCUCAGGUUAAGUACUUAAUUCGUUCCAGAGGUCCGUACUUAACCUGAAACUGUUCUUAACCUGAAGCACCACUUUAGCUAAUGGGGCCUCCUGCUGCUGCUGCGCCGCCGGAGCACGAUUUCUGUUCUCAUCCUGAAGCAAAGUUCUUAACCUGAAGCACUAUUUCUGGGUUAGCGGAGUCUGUAACAUGAAGCGUAUGUAACCUGAAGCGUAUGUAACCUGAGGUACCACUGUACAGUCAUACCUUGGGUUACAGACGCUUCAGGUUGCGUUUUUUCAGGUUAUGGACUGCUGAAACCUGGAGGUACUGGAACGGGUUACUUCCAGAUUUCAGCAGUCACGCAUGCACAGAAACACUGAAUUGCUCUUUGUGCAUGCACAGAAGCGCUGAAUUGCAAUCCGCGUGUGCACAGAGGUGCAGAUGCAGGUUGUGAAUGCUGCGGGUUGUGAAUGUGCAUCCCACACGGAUCACAUUUGCAACCUGAGUGUCCACUGUAUCGUACAGGUGGUAUCCUGCUUGCAACAAAAUGCAGCCAUGUGGAAUGCUCCUGUUCACUUCUCCAAGGCUACGUUAUUUCAUUUCCCCUUCCAGUUGGUCAGCAUUCCACGGCCACUGAGCAUGCUCAGUCCUCAUUAAAGAAAAAGAAAAAUCUGCAAGACUGCUAAUCUCUAACUUGUGCAUGGGUGGUGCCCUUUUGACUGUAUAAGCAAUAGCACUCCCGUCUGAACACUGAAAACAAAGGGAAUAAAAUCAUUCGUGCUUGUAGCGAAAACUAAGAAGGAGAGUCUGCUAAUGAAUGAGUGAACCAAAAGCUGUCUAUAAGGAGUUCCCAGCAGCCAAGGUCUUUUCAACGCCUUUCUGCCUGUUUGCCAAAGUCCUUUCCUCCUGCUUCUAUGCAUGCACUUUUUCCAUCCCAUGUUUGAUUUUCCUUGCUCCACUAGAUUCCUUGUCAAAAUUCCAAAAGCCUGCAAAAUCUGAAAUGCUUCGAAGAACAAGCAGUCCUUGUGAAAGUUUGCUUCAAUCAAGAUAAUCUGUACAGUUGCAACUUUUGCAACAUCGUAAGUUACCUCAUCACAGGGAUGGUGUUAAGUACAUGAAGAGAAGGUGCCUGAGCUUCGCUUUCAUUCCUCAAAAUCGGAUUAUGGCCUUAUCUGUGUAGAGUUCAGAACUAGUUUUUCCUGGCACAUGUUAACAUGGCGGUUGCAAUCAGCUAGAUUUGCAAUCGCUCCUGCAAUCGUUCUGGCACUAAUCUUACUCUUAACUUCCAUAGUCUUUUAAAAACUAAUUUUCUAGUAAGGAGCAACCAUUGAGAAAAAUAUGAAAAAACCACUAUGUUUAUAUUAUAUUUCUAACUGAUAAAAUAUAACUGUUACAUAAAGAGGGGUGGAAUGAUGUGGUCCUGUGCAUGCCUUCUCAGAAGUAAACCCCAUUGGAUUUAAUGGAACUUACUCCCAGGUAAGUGGGAAUUGGAUUGCACCCUAAGGCCCUGUGGGUGCAAUUCCAUACUCACUUUCCAGUGAAUGAACCUUACUGAAAUCAAUGGGACUUGUGGAUGCACUGCAUUGUAAAUCAAAAAAAGAUCAUAUGUCCUUCUAUAUACAACCCAAUAACAAAAGCAAAGAAAAAUCCAUGAAAACUUUCCUGCCGUUUCAGAUUAAAGAAGAAAAAGUACACUCAAGCAAUGUAACAAAUAUGGAUCAAAGUGAUGCCUACGUGGCC